Rosa chinensis is the source of this 1146-nucleotide long non-coding RNA. RefSeq lists it as uncharacterized. Lineage: Eukaryota; Viridiplantae; Streptophyta; Magnoliopsida; Rosales; Rosaceae. The transcript is spliced from 3 exons. The record is from RefSeq and is a predicted model, not a curated record.
AUUGCCGCUGCUUGGCCCGAAAGUGCAGUCGCGCUAAUCCGUGGGCAGAAAAUGAACCAAUCGCUGAUCGACUGGUUCGUCAUAGGUCCUCCAGACAAACUGGGGAAGGAUCUUCUGCUGCUGGCGAAGACGCGUCUGCUUCACAUGCCCAAGCGCCGACUGAUUCUAAUAAUCCUCCACCUCCCAUCAGUACUGCAAACAAUACACAGCUGGCUCUAGUGCCAGUUCAAGUCAUAGACGAUAGCUCACCUGAAGUUGAGGAAUGUUCGCUCCCGGACACACCUCGCGAACAGGAAAUUGUAGUUCUUAUCAUGGAACAAAUAGUGCCUGAUUCGGUUCCCAUUUCUGGUGUGGCUGAUCAAGAACCAAUGCCAGUCGCCAUCCUUCCCGAACCACCUGUUCCAGAGAAUCCUGCCCCUAUCGAGGAGGUGACUGCGGCCGCUGUAGAGGUGCUCGGCGAAAAUCCUGCUGAACCAGAUGGCGUAGACUCGGAUAACCAAGAACCUGUCCCUGAUGCCCCCAAGCACCUGAAGCAGGAGAUGAAGUGAACCCUGAGUCGGUGCUGGAAAUGGUUCCUAUCGCGUAACCUCUCGAGAUUCCUGUUGCUGCUGCCCCAAAUCCGUUGCUUGCCCCUCCUUCUAGACUGGAAAGGCUGGCCUACAUACUUGAAGUGACUCCUCCUGGAGUUAUAGAUGAUGCCAGAGAAGGCCUACGUCGUCUCCUUGGAAUCGAUAUUCUGACGCCCAGAGCACCCGCGAGGGCUUUGGAGUAUCGGAGGGUACUUCUCCGCGAAGGAGCCAUCACUGAAGCCCAAUUCCUCGAUAUCGAUCAACUGCUGCAGGAUCUCCCCCAAUGGCUUAACGAGAAAAUGGCCGCGACAGCGCAGGCUAGGCAGACCCAAGCCCACUAUCUGACCCUUACUUAAUAGACAGACACCUCGCGCGAUUUCUUAGGCGACCGGGGUACUCUCAUCAGGGAUCUGACGGUUACGAGGAACCAUCUCAGGACCCAGAUUCAAGACCUUCAAGCCCAAUUAACUGAUGUGACGGCCAGGCUUGCCCAUGAAGAAGCCCAACUGGAGCAACCCUUGGCCGCUUUCGAAGUGCUGUCUCAAGAAUUGGACUAGGCUCGCCUGGCGGCCCAACA